UACGUAGGGGGCAGGCGUUGUCCGGAUUUACUGGGCGUAAAGAGCGCGUAGGCGGAAGGUGAAGCGUGGCCUGAAAGCCCCCGGCUCAACCGGGGAAGGCGGCUGCGAACUGGCCUUCUUGAGGGCGAUAGAGGGGGGCGGAAUUCCUGGUGUAGCGGUGAAAUGCGCAGAUAUCAGGAGGAACACCAAUUGCGAAGGCAGCUCGCUGGGACGUUACUGACGCUGAGACGCGAAAGCGUGGGGAGCAAACAGG
RNAcentral lists this ribosomal RNA (253 nucleotides) under uncultured bacterium. RNAcentral's name for it is "partial 16S ribosomal RNA". It matches the Rfam family "Bacterial small subunit ribosomal RNA", at positions 524 to 776 of the family's 1533-position model. The record is from RNAcentral.